GGACGGUAUGGACGUGUCGUUCUGCGCUCCUCAGCUGUCCUGACCUGCCCAGACAUGUCAUGAUGACGUCACAGCUGACGUCACAGGAUGUCCGGAACUGGUGGCCAUAGCUGCGAUGCUUUGCAACCUGGCUCUGUGCUCCGUGGCCCAGCGAUGGUCAGCGGCCGUUCCGGACCGCUUUCUUCAAGAUGGCGUCGUUAAUCUUCAACUAAACUCCUUCUCUCCACUCUAUCUCUAUAUAUUUUUUUUCUUUUUUAUGGACUAUCGUAGUGCACAACGCUCAGCUGGUCUGGACACGAGAUAGAUGCUCCCCAAUUAGUGUGGUGCCUCCCUGGAGCGUGCUGAUUAAUGAGGGGGGCCCAAUAGCUCUAAUUGCUAAUUUAAAUCGUGUUCAGGACAGUUGACCGUUGUGCACUAUGAGAGUCCAUCCCAUAUUACUCAUGUUCGUCCUCGUUUGUACAGUUUCGCGCUCCACGAUGUCGCCUAAGGCAAUCACAUGCAACGUAUUUGACAUUGAAGCAGUGUCUCAGCACAGUGUCCAGUCUAUCCAAGAUUAUGAAGACACUUUAUAAUUCUUUUAGAAGCAAAGAGCCAAGAGAAGGACGAAAUGGUGCAAAGGCUUCUUGUCGGUCAUGAUUUGGCCCAAGAUGGAACAGACGGAGAAAACGCCGACACCAGAUGCAGUAGCGAACAGGGCAGCGGUUCCAGCCCCCUUCGAGAGCAUGAAACAGAUGAAUCAACUGUGUGUGAAAACUCUACAGUGUUGACAAUGGCAGAAACCUUGCCAUGUGCAAUUGCAAGCAACGACUCUCGUCCUGAGGCUUUUCCAUUCAGUCAUGUGGUGUUAUUCAAAGACCCUAUUACUCAGUGUCCUGUUGCAACUCACCUUGAUGUAAAACUUUCUGGAGGUAAAAAUCACGCACUGCACAUUUAGCCUAUUUGCACACUGCUGCAGUUCCUGUUCUGAUUAGUGACACCUCACUGUUCUAAUAAAAGUGGUAUACCAUCCAA
This is a long non-coding RNA of Ornithodoros turicata, 1011 nucleotides long. RefSeq lists it as uncharacterized. The transcript has 4 exons. Lineage: Eukaryota; Metazoa; Arthropoda; Arachnida; Ixodida; Argasidae. The record is from RefSeq and is a predicted model, not a curated record.